CACAUUCUCAUCCGCACCUUGAACAGUCGUCGGAUGGCAUUGGAUUCUGUUUGGGACUUCCCUAGGGAGGGAGACCAGGUCCUUGAGGCCUCCGACUUAAGCCUGUAUCCUGGACCCGCCGCGGGGUGGGAAUAUGGUUUUCAGGCCAUGCUGUGUGAUGAAAGUAACGUUGGUAGGGACAUCUGAGAUUGCUGAUGAAUGCCAACGUCUCUGAUGCGGGGCCUGAGCCGAGCAAAGAUAUGGAACUCGAGAAAGCAGGAGCAUGUUAUUGGCUGACCUUAAAGUUAUACAUCAUGGAUGAAGUUGCUGUUUCUGAGGCUCCAAGGAAUUGCAAGCAUUACAGGCAAACAGCUCUAGGGACUUGACAACUGGAAGUAGAAAUGGUUUCUCAAGUCCAGAUGCCGUGGUGAUCACUUAAAAUUGGAUUAAAAUGCAUUGAUCUAUGGUUACUACUGAAUAAUGCCAUCUAUGCUGAGCCAAAGAUGAAUGAAGAAGCUGAAAAGCAUAAAAUGUCAAAGGGAUUGGAGAAAAGACAAAUUGAACAAAAAUCUGAGGAACCUACCAUGGAAGGAACACUUUGGAUGAAUCAUCCGAAAUGAAAGUGCCUGGCUUAAUAUUCCCAGUAAGGUUAGGAACUUCUGGAAUCUGAGAAGCUUGAAACAAAUGACCAAUAUGCUGUUAAGGUGUUCCCAACAGAAUUUUAAUAAAGUGAUAUACA
Long non-coding RNA from Gracilinanus agilis (Agile Gracile Mouse Opossum), 718 nucleotides. RefSeq lists it as uncharacterized. NCBI's taxonomy places the organism in Eukaryota, Metazoa, Chordata, Mammalia, Didelphimorphia, Didelphidae. The record is from RefSeq and is a predicted model, not a curated record. The transcript has 11 exons.